UAUUUAGGUUUAGGCACUUUUGUCACGAAAAAUGGGAUCACAAGCAAAAACAUAUAUCUCAUGUUACGACCUUUCUAAAUUGCUAUUUGAUACAUGGCAUCGACAAGGGAAUGAUGCUCGACUACAGAAUCAUAUCCAUAGCCAAAGAACUUACAUCAUAAAUACAUCUACAUAAAACUGGUCUAUUCUAAAGAACUAAGACAAACAAAAUUGACAUCAUGAAACUACCAGUGAUAGACUAUUUCCUGUUUUUAAUGCUGUACGAACGAGCCUCAGCAAGUCUUAAUGGACCUAAUGUCUGCACCAAACAACUAAGGACAGCAUAUGCCGUCAACUACCGUCAAGCAACAAGACAAGUUUACAAAAUGAUUACUGUAUGCUGCAAGGGAUGGAAACAAGUCGGGGACAAGUGUCCACAAGCUAUUUGCAGUCAAAAGUGCGAGAAGGGUACUUGCGACAAACCUGACUUCUGCAAGUGUAAUCCUGGGUACUAUGGAAAGCUUUGCGACAGAGGGCACGUAUGGCAAUAAGUGCUCAUCAUCCUGUAAGUGCAAACCAAUCCACACUUUAGAAUGCCAUCACGUGACAGGAGUAUGCACCUGUGAUGGCGGGUAUCGUGGUCAGCGGUGUGAAUCUAAGUGUUCUGCUGGUUCUUAUGGAUUCCUGUGUAGUGAAAAGUGCGAAUGUCCUGGUGAUAAUUUUCUUCACAAUACAUGUGAUCACGUGAAUGGCUCGUGCUUCUGUAAACCAAGUCAUACUGGCUCCAACUGCACUGAUCGUACGUAUACCAACUUGGGACAGGGGUGGGAUAUAACUUGUAUACGGUCACGUGAUUGUCUCGUGAUUCUAAAAUGAGCCACUGUCAUACUAAUCAAUAAUGCGUGGUCAACGUUUCGCACUUUUAUUCCAGCAACUUGUUUUCAAUCAAAAUACACAGUGUAACAAAGGAUUUCGGUGGCUUAGCUUUAUUCUCUUCUCGCAGACGUUAUUUGGCUAGUUCCCAGAUCUCUCCACCUGCAAGAGGAGACUCAAGCUUGCACUAUAUGCUAAGUGCUUUCGACAUAAGUCAAGAUGCAAGUAUUUUUGAAAGCAAUUUUUAUAUAUUUCUCGGUCUUUUUCGUCAAAUGGAA
Exaiptasia diaphana is the source of this 1130-nucleotide RNA transcript. It is a transcript of the gene named epidermal growth factor-like protein 8, with no coding region annotated. NCBI's taxonomy places the organism in Eukaryota, Metazoa, Cnidaria, Anthozoa, Actiniaria, Aiptasiidae. The record is from RefSeq and is a predicted model, not a curated record. The transcript has 5 exons.